ACUCCUACGGGAGGCAGCAGUGGGAGUAUUGAUCAAUGGCAGGCAAGCAUGCAUGCAGCCAUGCCGCGUGUGUGAAGAAGGCCUUCGGGUUGUAAAGCACUUUCAGUCGUGAGGAAGGUAGUGUAGUUAAUAGCUGCACUAUUUGACGUUACCUACAGAAGAAGCACCGGCUAACUCCGUGCCAGCAGCCGCGGUAAUACGGAGGGUGCGAGCGUUAAUCGGAAUUACUGGGCGUAAAGCGCAUGCAGGCGGCCUGUUAAGUCAGAUGUG
RNAcentral lists this ribosomal RNA (270 nucleotides) under uncultured bacterium. Its description in RNAcentral is "partial 16S ribosomal RNA". It matches the Rfam family "Bacterial small subunit ribosomal RNA", at positions 335 to 596 of the family's 1533-position model. The record is from RNAcentral.